This 356-nucleotide unclassified non-coding RNA is filed under the name Hevea brasiliensis (rubber tree). Lineage: Eukaryota; Viridiplantae; Streptophyta; Magnoliopsida; Malpighiales; Euphorbiaceae. The record is from RNAcentral.
AAUAAAAUAAACACACACACACACAUUUUCAAGACUUCAAACUACAGGAUCUUCUAUUGCCUCCUAUCAUUUCCUCUAGCAAAAGACUAUCCAUGAAAGACAAAUGGUUAAACAUGCAAAGAGAAUAUCUCGUUCCCUUUUUCUUUCUUUUCAAAAUUACAAGUUCAGGAUCUGUUCAACGGUAGAAUUUCUUCUUCCGCCUCAUAUUACAAAUCAAUUCUAUAAAAUGCUGACAAUUCUAGCAUUCAUCUUGAAAGCCUUUUAACAAAAAGAAGCAAACAUCAUCUUAUGAACCGAAAUCACCCACAGAAUCAACAAAAAAGCAGAACCCAGAUAAUAAAAUAAAGAUUAAAAAG